AACAUUUCUCAUUAUAGUCUCAAUCUUGAAUCCCUUAAAAUUGGACCAAAUUCUCAAUGAAAUCACCUGAUGUCAAUGGCCUGUUUCUCCAGGACCAUAAAUCUUCUUUGCACCACAUAAACAUCUUUAGCUUGCACUGGGAUUUGGUAGCUUCCUGAUAGCUCCACUUCACUGCAUUUAGUUGGAGCCAAGACACAGUUGAGAAUCUUCCCCCAUGGGAAUACAAUCAUACUGUAGUGUGUAUAUAUAGAGAAUGAUCGUUUCAGGAUUGUUGGUCAAAUGCAGGACAAAUUGCUUCCUAUACGAUGACUCCAAAAUCUUUGACCAAUAACAGCUAAUUUAGAGCCCAUCGUUUUGUAUGUGUAGUUGGGAUUAUGUUGUCCAGUGUGCAUUACGUUGCACAGAUCAACAUUGAAUGUCAUAUGCCAUUUUGUAACCCAGUCACCCAGUUUUGGUUUUUCAAGAUCCCAG
Long non-coding RNA from Chelonia mydas (Green sea turtle), 471 nucleotides. RefSeq lists it as uncharacterized. The transcript has 3 exons. Lineage: Eukaryota; Metazoa; Chordata; Testudines; Cheloniidae. The record is from RefSeq and is a predicted model, not a curated record.